RNAcentral lists this transfer RNA (74 nucleotides) under Candidatus Moduliflexus flocculans. Its description in RNAcentral is "tRNA-Thr(cgt)". It matches the Rfam family "tRNA". From Rfam's summary of the family: Transfer RNA (tRNA) molecules are approximately 80 nucleotides in length. Their secondary structure includes four short double-helical elements and three loops (D, anti-codon, and T loops). The record is from RNAcentral. Lineage: Bacteria; Candidatus Moduliflexota; Candidatus Moduliflexia; Candidatus Moduliflexales; Candidatus Moduliflexaceae.
AGCCGGCGUAGCUCAGGGGUAGAGCAGCUGAUUCGUAAUCAGCAGGUCGUAGGUUCAAAUCCCAUCGCCGGCUU